AGAGUUUGAUCCUGGCUCAGGAUGAACGCUGGCGGCGUGCUUAACACAUGCAAGUCGAGCGGAAAUAUUUAAAAGCUUGCUUUUAGAUAUUUUAGCGGCGGACGGGUGAGUAACGUGUGGGUAACCUGCCAUAUACUGGGGAAUAAUCAUUGGGAACGAUGACUAAUACCGCAUGUGGUCACGAGAUGGCAUCAUCUUGUGAAGAAAGGGCUUCGGCUCGGUAUAUGAUGGACCCGCAUCUGAUUAGCUAGUUGGUGAGAUAACAGCUCACCAAGGCGACGAUCAGUAGCCGACCUGAGAGGGUGAUCGGCCACAUUGGGACUGAGACACGGCCCAAACUCCUACGGGAGGCAGCAGUGGGGAAUAUUGCACAAUGGGCGAAAGCCCGAUGCAGCAACGCCGCGUGAAGGAAGAAGGGUUUCGGCUCGUAAACUUCUAUCAAUGGGGAAGAAACAAAUGACGGUACCCAAAUAAGAAGCCCCGGCUAACUACGUGCCAGCAGCCGCGGUAA
Molecule: ribosomal RNA, 511 nt
Filed under: uncultured bacterium
Lineage: Bacteria
Description: bacterial SSU rRNA
Rfam family: Bacterial small subunit ribosomal RNA
Source: RNAcentral